AUUGAACGCUGGCGGCAGGCCUAACACAUGCAAGUCGAGCGAGCGGCGGACGGGUGAGUAGAGUAGGGGGUUCUGCGUGAUGGCGGGGGCUAACUACUUGAAACGGUAGCUGAUACCGCAUACAAACAGAUGCACAAAUUUGUGAUUAGCUAGUGGGUAAGGUAACGGCUUCCCAAGGCGAAGAUCCCUAGCUGGUUUGAGAGGAUGAUCGGCCACACUGGGACUGAGACACGGCCCAGACUCCUACGGGAGGCAGCAGUGGGGAAUAUUGCACAAUGGGCGCAAGCCUGAUGCAGCCAUGCCGCGUGUAUGAAGAAGGCUUUCGGGUUGUAAAGUACUGUCAGUCGGGAAGCGUUAAUGAAAGAGGAAGCACCGGCUAACUCCGUGCCAGCCGCCGCGGUAAUUC
This 406-nucleotide ribosomal RNA is filed under the name uncultured bacterium. RNAcentral's name for it is "partial 16S ribosomal RNA". It matches the Rfam family "Bacterial small subunit ribosomal RNA", at positions 30 to 526 of the family's 1533-position model. The record is from RNAcentral.